GGCUCCAAUGGUCCUCAGUGGCUUCUCUUUGUUGAUCUUCGUUCUUCCACUGCCUUCUGUAUCCUAAUUUCUUUAUGACAUCAACAUAGGGUUCAAGCUUUCCUAAAGCACGCAAACAGAUCUAGGGCGUGAUUUGGUUUGGCGAUAUCUCCGCAACCUCUGGCGGUGCCUACAGUUGUGGAUAGCACAUGUUUAAAUUAGAAGCUAAAUCAAGUUAUCUAGGGUUUCUUUCUUCUUCUCUGUACUUGUAACCACCGCAAAAGGUUCUAAUAUCUGAUCAAAACCGGCCGAACAAGGGUUUUUGAAGCAACCAAAAGUCUUCAUCUGUUCGAAGAAGGGCGGCAAAGGAAAAAAAGUAUGGAAAGGGGGAAAUAGUUCUGGAAGAGUAUUAGUAUUGGUAUUGGAUUUAACCUGAGGGAGGCUAUUAAAGGUAUUGUUAUAAUAUAGUUUUUACAAUAUCAGUUGUUUGUUUUUAUUUGCCAUUUUGUUAUGCUGUUGAGUUGUUGAAUUGGUUGAAUGAAUUUAAGAUGUGUGUAAGAUGAAUAUGAAAAAUAAGAGAUGAAUUUGAAUAAAAUGGAUUGUUACUAUGAAAUGUGGAUUGAUUAUUUGUGAAAACCAGAAUACAUAUUGGAUGAGGAGAAGGUAUAUAUUGUAUCUGUUGUAUAUUUGUUGGUUUAAUGAUUGAUUUUUAGACUUAUUUGUUCUUAUUGAGUUAGUUGUUGCUGGUAUUGGAUUUUGGAAAUGCAUAUGCCACUCACUAUUGAUGUUACUACAUCAUUUUGAGGUUUUUAAAGUGCUAACAUCAUGUCAUCUUCCUCGUCUGUCUGUGAACAAAGAUGAGGAAAGAGUGUCAAAGUAGAACUAGAUGGAAAGCGGGUCCCGCCGCCUAAAACGUUUGAAGACUAUGCAAAUCUUUAUCUUCAACAAUAAACAUAUAGGUUGGUGUAUGAAACCUCUCACGCCUCCAACUUUAUCGGCAAUAUGGGCUCAAGAGUCAAGAUUAGUGUCUUGCUGGGUUGAGCUACAAAAUAAAAUUGGGCUUACAUAUGUGAUCUGGAGCUGAAUUUGAAGCCAAAAUCAGGAAGCUUGUUGAACUCAGGUUCAGCAGAGAUGCAGUUUUACAAGCUCGGAAGCUUUUUGAUGGUUGAUCCAAAAUUUGAUUUGGAUAUUAAUUAAGAUGAUGCGGAAGACGAGUGUUCCAACUAUAGACGGGCCAAGCAUAUAUAUGUUGAUAAGUAUGUGUUCUAGCCCUUUAUCUCAGUUUACUAGGAUGAACAUCUGUUAGAUGUGCAAAUUACCAUAACAUGGGGUCUACAAGUAACAUGAAUAAAACACUUGGGAAGAUUAUACAACAUCAGAACUGGUCACCAGUUAGAAGUUUACUCCCCACCACAACAGCGGUAAUGUGGCCACGAACCCAUGGAUGCAAAUUUGCAGCCGCUUUUAGGUCUAAAACAGUGAGUAUAUGGACUUGAAGAAAACAGUUUGGAAAUAGUUUCUAGUUUGUGUAAAGUCAUUUUUCUGUGUAACAUUUGUAGAUAGGUUUUGAUUAGAAGUUAAUGUUUUUAGUUAGUAUUAGUAUCUAAAUUGAAAACUUAUGUAUGGAUUUUGGGUUAUUAUUGUUAAUAGCAUUUGGUUUUUAGUUUUCUCA
Molecule: RNA transcript, 1651 nt
Organism: Helianthus annuus (common sunflower)
Lineage: Eukaryota; Viridiplantae; Streptophyta; Magnoliopsida; Asterales; Asteraceae
Exons: 5
Source: RefSeq, a predicted model, not a curated record